Molecule: RNA transcript, 654 nt
Organism: Raphanus sativus (radish)
Lineage: Eukaryota; Viridiplantae; Streptophyta; Magnoliopsida; Brassicales; Brassicaceae
Gene name: hydrophobic protein RCI2B
Exons: 4
Source: RefSeq, a predicted model, not a curated record
GGCUCAUAUAAUAUUCUGAAGUCAGGUCUAUAUAUAACCAGACGAUAACAAGGAGAUUCAAGAGUCCAGAAUCAUCAAGAGAAGUUAUAUUUUAAUUUAGUUUUUAAACAUAAAUAAUUUCUUACAAAUUCAAAGAGCUUGAAAAUGAGUACAGCCACUUUCGUAGAGAUCCUUCUGGCUAUCCUCUUGCCUCCUCUCGGCGUCUUUCUCAAAUUUGGCUUAAAGGUUGAGUUUUGGAUAUGUUUGAUCUUGACGCUGUUUGGUUAUCUUCCCGGGAUCCUUUACGCUCUUUAUAUCAUCACCAAGGACUGAUUUUCAUCUCAUUUGUUUUUCCUCUCGGUCUCCUUGUUGAAUUUUGGAUAUGUUUGGUUUUGACGCUUUUUGGGUAUCUUCCUGGGAUCCUCUACGCCCUUUAUGUCCUCACCAAAUAAAUUACCAUCAAUCCUCUCUUCUUUUCAUUUCAUCUCCUUGAACAACUGUUUCGUCGUGUUUUCCUAUCUUUGUGUAACUGUGAUUGAUUCAUCGUUUCUUUAGUCAGGGUUUUAUCAUUGUUGUGUGUUGCAUACCUUUUGUUGAUAUAAAGAAGAGAUCCUUUGUUUUGUGUGAAGAACUUGUUUAUUCAAGUUUUUCAAAUAUAUAAUAGUUUUUUCUAUC